This 774-nucleotide ribosomal RNA is filed under the name uncultured Neocallimastigales. RNAcentral's name for it is "partial large subunit ribosomal RNA". It matches the Rfam family "Eukaryotic large subunit ribosomal RNA", at positions 24 to 645 of the family's 3401-position model. Lineage: Eukaryota; Fungi; Neocallimastigomycota; Neocallimastigomycetes; Neocallimastigales. The record is from RNAcentral.
UAUGUGAUCGUCUCUCGCAUAUCAAUAAGCGGAGGAAAAGAAACUAACAAGGAUUCCCCUAGUAACGGCGAGUGAAGCGGGAAGAGCUCAAAUUUGAGAUCUUAAAGGGUUUCCCUUUACGAAUUGUAGUUUAAAGAAGUGUUUUCUGUUGAGGUUUUGGUGAAAGUUCUUUGGAAUAGGACAUCAUAGAGGGUGAGAAUCCCGUAUUUGACCUUUACUUUCAACUUUGUGAUACACUUUCAAAGAGUCGGAUUGUUUGGGAAUGCAGUCCAAAAUGGGUGGUAAAUUUCAUCUAAAGCUAAAUAUUGGCGAGAGACCGAUAGCGAACAAGUACCGUGAGGGAAAGAUGAAAAGAACUUUGAAAAGAGAGUUAAACAGUACGUGAAAUCGUCAAAAGGGAAGCGUUUGACACCAGUGUUGUUUUUCUGAAAAUCAAUUAAAGAACUGUUUAUGCUAAGCUGUUUAGACUUUAUCAGCUAUCUGUUUAGUUUUGAGCUUUUCUUUAAUGCACUUUUCAGUUAACAAGUCAACAUCAAUUUCUUUUGCUGUAAAAAAGCUUGAGGAAGGUGGCUUGAGAUUCGUCUUAAGUGUUUAUAGCCUCUUGCCUAUGCAGUCGGAGAGAUUGAGGUCUGCAGCGUAGAUCCUUCGGGGCUAAAUGCAUUUGUGCUAAGUUAUAGCAUUUUAUAGACAACUUGUUGACUAUGAUUUGUCUUGUAGCUUACUCGCUUAUGUUAUUUUACCUACGCUUAGGAUGUUGAUCUCUCACAGUCGAGC